AGAGUAGAGACAGUCACUCCUGUGCGGCUAUUCAAACGGGAGGCGCUCCACCAAAGAGACACAAUCGUCUCUUCUAAACCAUCAACUAACGAGCAAAAUUCUUCCCUUCUCUUCUCUGCAGAAACCACGAUCAAAGAGAACCCAUCUCUCUCUCUCCCUCUCUCGGUCCCAUAUUCCAGGAAGACCCAAGGAUGCCUUUAUCUUGGGUCGCAGCUGUACUGAUGCUGUCUGUCCUAAGACAGAGCAAUGGAGAACCAGUCACCCAAACCAAAGGCAACGUCGUGAUCUCCCAAGGAGAAUCUGUGGUUGUUAACUGCACCUAUGAGGCUGUUUCUCCCUAUCUCUUCUGGUACGUGCAGUUCCCCAGCCAGCCCCCCAGGCUCUUCCUGAGGGACCUGGGACGGGAAAACUCGGAUGAAGGGAUCAGAAAAGGGUUCGAUGCCGCUCACGAUAAAAACCACAAAUCCUUCCACCUGUGGAAACCGUCCAGCGAACUGAGCGACUCCGCGACCUACUACUGCGCCCUGAGAGACACAGUGACACGAAACAGCAGGGGAGCUGCGCAAAAACCUCCCGGGGGCUGUGGCAGGAACCGCAGGCUCCUAGGAGUGACUCGGGGUGGAAGGAGGAGGAAUUCUGCAAUUACUGGACUCUGUCUCUCACGAGACCAGCACACAACCGCCUCCCCGCUACUCAGUCCUCCAGUCUGCAUCGCCUCUUUCUGCUCCAGCCCAGGAUUUUAGGACUUGUCAUAGAGCAAAAUUCACCAUCAACUCAGGAAAAAGGGAACAAAUGA
Trachemys scripta elegans is the source of this 796-nucleotide non-coding RNA. The record is from the annotation of a RefSeq genome assembly. NCBI's taxonomy places the organism in Eukaryota, Metazoa, Chordata, Testudines, Emydidae.